GAUGAACGCUGGCGGCGUGCCUAAUACAUGCAAGUCGAGCGAACAGACGAGGAGCUUGCUCCUCUGACGUUAGCGGCGGACGGGUGAGUAACACGUGGAUAACCUACCUAUAAGACUGGGAUAACUUCGGGAAACCGGAGCUAAUACCGGAUAAUAUAUUGAACCGCAUGGUUCAAUAGUGAAAGACGGUUUUGCUGUCACUUAUAGAUGGAUCCGCGCCGCAUUAGCUAGUUGGUAAGGUAACGGCUUACCAAGGCAACGAUGCGUAGCCGACCUGAGAGGGUGAUCGGCCACACUGGAACUGAGACACGGUCCAGACUCCUACGGGAGGCAGCAGUAGGGAAUCUUCCGCAAUGGGCGAAAGCCUGACGGAGCAACGCCGCGUGAGUGAUGAAGGUCUUCGGAUCGUAAAACUCUGUUAUUAGGGAAGAACAAAUGUGUAAGUAACUAUGCACGUCUUGACGGUACCUGAUCAGAAAGCCACGGCUAACUACGUG
This 497-nucleotide ribosomal RNA is filed under the name uncultured bacterium. RNAcentral describes it as "partial 16S ribosomal RNA". It matches the Rfam family "Bacterial small subunit ribosomal RNA", at positions 28 to 507 of the family's 1533-position model. The record is from RNAcentral.